This 445-nucleotide ribosomal RNA is filed under the name uncultured bacterium. Its description in RNAcentral is "bacterial SSU rRNA". It matches the Rfam family "Bacterial small subunit ribosomal RNA", at positions 29 to 507 of the family's 1533-position model. The record is from RNAcentral.
AACGAACGCUGGCGGCAGGCCUAACACAUGCAAGUCGAACGUGAAGCCAGAGCUUGCUCUGGUGGAAAGUGGCAGACGGGUGAGUAACGCGUGGGAACCUACCCAGUAGUACGGAACAACAGUUGGAAACGACUGCUAAUACCGUAUACGCCCUUCGGGGGAAAGAUUUAUCGCUAUUGGAUGGGCCCGCGUUGGAUUAGUUUGUUGGUGAGGUAACGGCUCACCAAGGCGACGAUCCAUAGCUGGUCUGAGAGGAUGAUCAGCCACACUGGGACUUAGACACGGCCCAGACUCCUACGGGAGGCAGCAGUGGGGAAUAUUGCACAAUGGGCGCAAGCCUGAUGCAGCCAUGCCGCGUGAGUGAAGAAGGCCCUAGGGUUGUAAAGCUCUUUCGGCGGGGACGAUAAUGACGGUACCCGCAGAAGAAGCCCCGGCUAACUCCGUG